This 552-nucleotide long non-coding RNA is filed under the name Mus spicilegus (steppe mouse). Its description in RNAcentral is "lncRNA (ENSMSIG00000031291.1)". Lineage: Eukaryota; Metazoa; Chordata; Mammalia; Rodentia; Muridae. The record is from RNAcentral.
UUCAUAUAGAGACUUGGGGGCUUUCUGAAACAAGAAAGAGAAAGAAAGAAAGAAAGAAAGAAAGAAAGAAAGAAAGAAAGAAAGAAAGAAAGAAGCCCACUUCAUAAGGCUCUCUCAACUACUAAGAAGUGUCUAUUCUGGACAUCUCCCACCCCACCAGUCAUCACCCAGGGGAAUGACAGUCAAGGUAAAGGAUGCAUGGCUGGAGAAUUCCCAUCACUGUCAUCUCUGCUGAGGAUCCUCCUCCUGACCAGUAAUUACUGGGAACGUAUGCAAAUGUUUCUUAAGCACAUGGAACUGUUUCGAGUGCUUCUGGAUCCUAGAAGGAGUUAAAAUGAUGACUCCAGCAGGUGACAGACAAUCACUUUUCCCAGUGAAGACAAAGCUGGUUUGUGAAGUAAUGGUUCCACAGUGAGUAGCUGCUUCCAGGAAAUAUAUACUGUAAGUAAUGAACACUUUGUCAGAGACAGGGAUUGGGGGCAUGUGCCUCUCCUGAAGAUCCUUGGACAGUCCUAUGAGUUGAUAAGAAGUAGUUUUAUAAAUGUAGAGAAU